Molecule: ribosomal RNA, 208 nt
Filed under: uncultured bacterium
Lineage: Bacteria
Description: partial 16S ribosomal RNA
Rfam family: Bacterial small subunit ribosomal RNA
Source: RNAcentral
CGCGUAGGUGGUUUGGUCAGUCAGAUGUGAAAGCCCUGGGCUUAACCUGGGAAUUGCAUUUGAUACUGCCAGACUAGAGUAUGGUAGAGGGAAGUGGAAUUCCGGGUGUAGCGGUGAAAUGCGUAGAUAUCCGGAGGAACAUCAGUGGCGAAGGCGGCUUCCUGGACCAAUACUGACACUGAGGUGCGAAAGCGUGGGUAGCAAACGA